GAUGAACGCUGGCGGCGUGCCUAAUACAUGCAAGUCGAGCGGACCAAAGAGAGCUUGCUCUCUGAGGUUAGCGGCGGACGGGUGAGUAACACGUGGGUAGCCUGCCUGUAAGACGGGGAUAACUUCGGGAAACCGAAGCUAAUACCGGAUGAUAAAGAGAAACGCCUGUUUCUUUUUUGAAAGUCGGCCUUGUGCUGACGCUUACAGAUGGGCCCGCGGCGCAUUAGCUAGUUGGUGAGGUAACGGCUCACCAAGGCGACGAUGCGUAGCCGACCUGGGAGGGUGCUCGGCCACACUGGGACUGAGACACGGCCCAGACUCCUACGGGAGGCAGCAGUAGGGAAUCUUCGGCAAUGGACGAAAGUCUGACCGAGCAACGCCGCGUGAGCGAUGAAGGCCUUCGGGUCGUAAAGCUCUGUUGUCAGAGAAGGACAAGUACCGGAGUAACUGCCGGUACCUUGACGGUACCUGACCAGAAAGCCACGGCUAACUUCGUGCCAGCAGCCGCGGUAA
This 513-nucleotide ribosomal RNA is filed under the name uncultured bacterium. RNAcentral's name for it is "partial 16S ribosomal RNA". It matches the Rfam family "Bacterial small subunit ribosomal RNA", at positions 28 to 523 of the family's 1533-position model. The record is from RNAcentral.